This 1372-nucleotide ribosomal RNA is filed under the name uncultured bacterium. RNAcentral's name for it is "bacterial SSU rRNA". It matches the Rfam family "Bacterial small subunit ribosomal RNA", at positions 28 to 1381 of the family's 1533-position model. The record is from RNAcentral.
GAUGAACGCUGGCGGCGUGCCUAAUACAUGCAAGUCGAGCGAACGGACGAGAAGCUUGCUUCUCUGAUGUUAGCGGCGGACGGGUGAGUAACACGUGGAUAACCUACCUAUAAGACUGGGAUAACUUCGGGAAACCGGAGCUAAUACCGGAUAAUAUUUUGAACCGCAUGGUUCAAAAGUGAAAGACGGUCUUGCUGUCACUUAUAGAUGGAUCCGCGCUGCAUUAGCUAGUUGGUAAGGUAACGGCUUACCAAGGCAACGAUGCAUAGCCGACCUGAGAGGGUGAUCGGCCACACUGGAACUGAGACACGGUCCAGACUCCUACGGGAGGCAGCAGUAGGGAAUCUUCCGCAAUGGGCGAAAGCCUGACGGAGCAACGCCGCGUGAGUGAUGAAGGUCUUCGGAUCGUAAAACUCUGUUAUUAGGGAAGAACAUAUGUGUAAGUAACUGUGCACAUCUUGACGGUACCUAAUCAGAAAGCCACGGCUAACUACGUGCCAGCAGCCGCGGUAAUACGUAGGUGGCAAGCGUUAUCCGGAAUUAUUGGGCGUAAAGCGCGCGUAGGCGGUUUUUUAAGUCUGAUGUGAAAGCCCACGGCUCAAUCGUGGAGGGUCAUUGGAAACUGGAAAACUUGAGUGCAGAAGAGGAAAGUGGAAUUCCAUGUGUAGCGGUGAAAUGCGCAGAGAUAUGGAGGAACACCAGUGGCGAAGGCGACUUUCUGGUCUGUAACUGACGCUGAUGUGCGAAGGCGUGGGGAUCAAACAGGAUUAGAUACCCUGGUAGUCCACGCCGUAAACGAUGAGUGCUAAGUGUUAGGGGGUUUCCGCCCCUUAGUGCUGCAGCUAACGCAUUAAGCACUCCGCCUGGGGAGUACGACCGCAAGGUUGAAACUCAAAGGAAUUGACGGGGACCCGCACAAGCGGUGGAGCAUGUGGUUUAAUUCGAAGCAACGCGAAGAACCUUACCAAAUCUUGACAUCCUUUGACAACUCUAGAGAUAGAGCCUUCCCCUUCGGGGGACAAAGUGACAGGUGGUGCAUGGUUGUCGUCAGCUCGUGUCGUGAGAUGUUGGGUUAAGUCCCGCAACGAGCGCAACCCUUAAGCUUAGUUGCCAUCAUUAAGUUGGGCACUCUAAGUUGACUGCCGGUGACAAACCGGAGGAAGGUGGGGAUGACGUCAAAUCAUCAUGCCCCUUAUGAUUUGGGCUACACACGUGCUACAAUGGACAAUACAAAGGGCAGCGAAACCGCGAGGUCAAGCAAAUCCCAUAAAGUUGUUCUCAGUUCGGAUUGUAGUCUGCAACUCGACUACAUGAAGCUGGAAUCGCUAGUAAUCGUAGAUCAGCAUGCUACGGUGAAUACGUUCCCGGGUCU